RNAcentral lists this unclassified non-coding RNA (378 nucleotides) under plant metagenome. Its description in RNAcentral is "partial contains 5.8S ribosomal RNA, internal transcribed spacer 2, and large subunit ribosomal RNA". The stretch from base 1 to 105 matches the Rfam family "5.8S ribosomal RNA", at positions 50 to 154 of the family's 154-position model. The record is from RNAcentral.
GAAAUGCGAUAAGUAAUGUGAAUUGCAGAAUUCAGUGAAUCAUCGAAUCUUUGAACGCACAUUGCGCCUAUUAGUAUUCUAGUAGGCAUGCCUGUUUGAGUAUCAUGAAAUCUUCAAAGUAAAUCUUUUGUUAACUCAAUUGGUUUCUACUUUGGUAUUGGAGGUCUUUGCAGCUUCACACCUGCUCCUCUUUGUUCAUUAGCUGGAUCUCAGUGUUAUGCUUGGUUCCACUCGGCGUGAUAAGUUAUCUAUCGCUGAGGACACUGUAAAAGGUGGCCAAGGUAAAUGCAGAUGAACCGCUUCUAAUAGUCCAUUUACUUGGACAAUACUUUUAUGAUCUGAUCUCAAAUCAGGUAGGACUACCCGCUGAACUUAAGC